GUUGGCCCUUGACGCCGCUCACCGGUCGACGACGCUCCUCCCAAGUCUUUGUCUCGAUAUGCUUGUCCUUGAUUGUGAGCUGUUUUAGAGUCGAAGUAGAUGAUGAAGAAGAAGGAUCUUUUGGUCUUUAUGGAUGUCUCCAUUGAUGGGGACCCUGCUGAAAGAAUGAUUUUUGAGUUGCUCCAAAGACGGCAGAAAAUUUCCGAGCACUCUAUACCGGAGAGAAGGGAAUUGGCCGAAGACGGGAGGCCACCGCACUUGAAGGGGUCAUUUUUCCAUCGGAUCAUUAGAGGCUUUAUGGCUCGUGUAUGUUUGUUUGUUCA
This is a long non-coding RNA of Eucalyptus grandis, 323 nucleotides long. RefSeq lists it as uncharacterized. The transcript has 3 exons. Lineage: Eukaryota; Viridiplantae; Streptophyta; Magnoliopsida; Myrtales; Myrtaceae. The record is from RefSeq and is a predicted model, not a curated record.